UAAGUUCCUCCAUCACCAUCACCCUG
RNAcentral lists this unclassified non-coding RNA (26 nucleotides) under Mus musculus (house mouse). Its description in RNAcentral is "oocyte_clustered_small_RNA6249". Lineage: Eukaryota; Metazoa; Chordata; Mammalia; Rodentia; Muridae. The record is from RNAcentral.